UACGGAGGGUGCAAGCGUUAUCCGGAUUUACUGGUUUAAAGGGUGCGUAGGUGGGUCUGUAAGUCAGUGGUGAAAUCUCCGAGCUUAACUCGGAAACUGCCAUUGAUACUAUAGGUCUUGAAUUAUCUGGAGGUAAGCGGAAUAUGUCAUGUAGCGGUGAAAUGCUUAGAUAUGACAUAGAACACCAAUUGCGAAGCAGCUUACUACGGAUUGAUUGACACUGAGGCACGAAAGCUGGGGAUCAAACAGG
This 250-nucleotide ribosomal RNA is filed under the name uncultured bacterium. RNAcentral describes it as "partial 16S ribosomal RNA". It matches the Rfam family "Bacterial small subunit ribosomal RNA", at positions 524 to 776 of the family's 1533-position model. The record is from RNAcentral.